Molecule: ribosomal RNA, 253 nt
Filed under: uncultured bacterium
Lineage: Bacteria
Description: partial 16S ribosomal RNA
Rfam family: Bacterial small subunit ribosomal RNA
Source: RNAcentral
UACAGGGGGGGCAAGCGUUGUUCGGAAUUACUGGGCGUAAAGCGUGUGUAGGCGGCCUGACAAGUCUGAUGUGAAAUCCCUGGGCUCAACCCAGGGCCUGCAUCGGAAACUGUCGGGCUUGAGUAUGGGAGAGGUGAGUGGAAUUUCCGGUGUAGCGGUGAAAUGCGUAGAUAUCGGAAGGAACACCUGUGGCGAAAGCGGCUCACUGGACCAUUACUGACGCUGAGGCACGAAAGCUAGGGGAGCAAACAGG